GGGUGCUUAGCUCAGUUGGUAGAGCGGCGCCCUUACAAGGCGUAGGUCGGGAGUUCGAGCCUCUCAGCACUCA
RNAcentral lists this transfer RNA (73 nucleotides) under Candidatus Burkholderia verschuerenii. It matches the Rfam family "tRNA". Rfam says of the family: Transfer RNA (tRNA) molecules are approximately 80 nucleotides in length. Their secondary structure includes four short double-helical elements and three loops (D, anti-codon, and T loops). The record is from Rfam by way of RNAcentral. Lineage: Bacteria; Pseudomonadati; Pseudomonadota; Betaproteobacteria; Burkholderiales; Burkholderiaceae.